RNAcentral lists this ribosomal RNA (867 nucleotides) under uncultured bacterium. RNAcentral describes it as "bacterial SSU rRNA". It matches the Rfam family "Bacterial small subunit ribosomal RNA", at positions 588 to 1453 of the family's 1533-position model. The record is from RNAcentral.
UCAGAUGUGAAAUUCCCCGAGCUUAACUUGGGAACAGCAUUUGAAACUGGCAGGCUAGAGUCUCGUAGAGGGGGGUAGAAUUCCAGGUGUAGCGGUGAAAUGCGUAGAGAUCUGGAGGAAUACCCGGUGGCGAAGGCGGCCCCCUGGACGAAGACUGACGCUCAGGUGCGAAAGCGUGGGGAGCAAACAGGAUUAGAUACCCUGGUAGUCCACGCUGUAAACGAUGUCGACUUGGAGGCUGUGGUCUUGAACCGUGGCUUCCGGAGCUAACGCGUUAAGUCGACCGCCUGGGGAGUACGGCCGCAAGGUUAAAACUCAAAUGAAUUGACGGGGGCCCGCACAAGCGGUGGAGCAUGUGGUUUAAUUCGACGCAACGCGAAGAACCUUACCUACUCUUGACAUCCUCAGAAGAGACUGGAGACAGUCUUGUGCCUUCGGGAACUGAGAGACAGGUGCUGCAUGGCUGUCGUCAGCUCGUGUUGUGAAAUGUUGGGUUAAGUCCCGCAACGAGCGCAACCCUUAUCCUUUGUUGCCAGCGAUUCGGUCGGGAACUCAAAGGAGACUGCCGGUGAUAAACCGGAGGAAGGUGGGGAUGACGUCAAGUCAUCAUGGCCCUUACGAGUAGGGCUACACACGUGCUACAAUGGCGCAUACAAAGAGAAGCGAGCCUGCGAGGGUGAGCGGACCUCAUAAAGUGCGUCGUAGUCCGGAUUGGAGUCUGCAACUCGACUCCAUGAAGUCGGAAUCGCUAGUAAUCGUAGAUCAGAAUGCUACGGUGAAUACGUUCCCGGGCCUUGUACACACCGCCCGUCACACCAUGGGAGUGGGUUGCAAAAGAAGUAGGUAGCUUAACCUUCGGGGGGGCGC